This 501-nucleotide ribosomal RNA is filed under the name uncultured bacterium. Its description in RNAcentral is "partial 16S ribosomal RNA". It matches the Rfam family "Bacterial small subunit ribosomal RNA", at positions 29 to 507 of the family's 1533-position model. The record is from RNAcentral.
ACGAACGCUGGCGGCGUGCUUAACACAUGCAAGUCGAACGGUGAAGGGGCCUGCUUUUGUGGGCCCUGGAUGAGUGGCGAACGGGUGAGUAACACGUGAGUAACCUGCCCCCUUCUUCUGGAUAACCGCAUGAAAGUGUGGCUAAUACGGGAUAUUCUGGGUCUGUCGCAUGAUGGGUCUGGGAAAGAUUGCGCCUUUGGGUGUUUUUGGUGGGGGAUGGGCUCGCGGCCUAUCAGCUUGUUGGUGGGGUGAUGGCCUACCAAGGCGGUGACGGGUAGCCGGCCUGAGAGGGUGGACGGUCACACUGGGACUGAGACACGGCCCAGACUCCUACGGGAGGCGGCAGUGGGGAAUAUUGCACAAUGGGCGCAAGCCUGAUGCAGCGACGCCGCGUGAGGGAUGGAGGCCUUCGGGUUGUAAACCUCUUUCGCCAGUGAAGCAGGCCUGCUCCUUGUGGGUGGGUUGACGGUAGCUGGAUAAGAAGCGCCGGCUAACUACGUG